This 253-nucleotide ribosomal RNA is filed under the name uncultured bacterium. RNAcentral describes it as "partial 16S ribosomal RNA". It matches the Rfam family "Bacterial small subunit ribosomal RNA", at positions 524 to 776 of the family's 1533-position model. The record is from RNAcentral.
UACGUAGGGUGCUAACGUUGUUCGGAAUCACUGGGCAUAAAGAGCGCGUAGGCGGUCUGAUAAGUCAGGUGUGAAAUCCCCCGGCUCAACCGGGGAACUGCACCUGAUACUGUUGGGCCUGAGUGCAGGAGGGGAGAGCGGAAUUCCUGGUGGAGCGGUGAAAUGCGUAGAUAUCGGGAGGAACACCAGUGGCGAAGGCGGCUUCCUGGCCUGUUAUUGACGCUGAGGCACGAAAGCGUGGGGAUCAAACAGG